RNAcentral lists this ribosomal RNA (860 nucleotides) under uncultured Neocallimastigales. Its description in RNAcentral is "partial large subunit ribosomal RNA". It matches the Rfam family "Eukaryotic large subunit ribosomal RNA", at positions 26 to 646 of the family's 3401-position model. The record is from RNAcentral. Lineage: Eukaryota; Fungi; Neocallimastigomycota; Neocallimastigomycetes; Neocallimastigales.
CGCAUCUGUGCAUGCAGCAUAUCAAUAAGCGGAGGAAAAGAAACUAACAAGGAUUCCCCUAGUAACGGCGAGUGAAGCGGGAAGAGCUCAAAUUUGAAUCUUAAAGGGUUUCCCUUUACGAAUUGUAGUUUAAAGAAGUGUUUUCUGUUGAGGUUUUGGUAGAAGUUCUUUGGAAUAGGACAUCAUAGAGGGUGAGAAUCCCGUAUUUGACCUUUACUUUCAACUUUGUGAUACACUUUCAAAGAGUCGGAUUGUUUGGGAAUGCAGUCCAAAAUGGGUGGUAAAUUUCAUCUAAAGCUAAAUAUUGGCGAGAGACCGAUAGCGAACAAGUACCGUGAGGGAAAGAUGAAAAGAACUUUGAAAAGAGAGUUAAACAGUACGUGAAAUUGUCAAAAGGGAAGCGUUUGACACCAGUGUUGUUUUUCUGAAAAUCAAUUAAAGAACUGUUUAUGCUAAGCUGUUUAGACUUUAUCAGCUAUCUGUUUAGUUUUGAGCUUUUCUUUAAUGCACUUUUCAGUUAACAAGUCAACAUCAAUUUCUUUUGCUGUAAAAAAGCUUGAGGAAGGUGGCUUGAGAUUCGUCUUAAGUGUUUAUAGCCUCUUGCCUAUGCAGUCGGAGAGAUUGAGGUCUGCAGCGUAGAUCCUUCGGGGCUAAAUGCAUUUGUGCUAAGUUAUAGCAUUUUAUAGACAACUUGUUGACUAUGAUUUGUCUUGUAGCUUACUCGCUUAUGCUAUUUUACCUACGCUUAGGAUGUUGACGAGACUGUCGAUCUCAUCUAUACAUGACUCUGUGCAUAUCAAUAAGCGGAGGAAAAGAGGGCUAUUACCUACGCUUAGGAUGUUGACGAGACUGUCGAUCUC